This 299-nucleotide ribosomal RNA is filed under the name uncultured bacterium. Its description in RNAcentral is "partial 16S ribosomal RNA". It matches the Rfam family "Bacterial small subunit ribosomal RNA", at positions 355 to 670 of the family's 1533-position model. The record is from RNAcentral.
UGGGGAAUAUUGGACAAUGGGGGGCAACCCUGAUCCAGCAAUGCCGCGUGUGUGAAGAAGGUCUUCGGAUUGUAAAGCACUUUCGACGGGGACGAUGAUGACGGUACCCGUAGAAGAAGCCCCGGCUAACUUCGUGCCAGCAGCCGCGGUAAUACGAAGGGGGCUAGCGUUGCUCGGAAUGACUGGGCGUAAAGGGCGUGUAGGCGGUUUACACAGUCAGAUGUGAAAUCCCCGGGCUUAACCUGGGAGCUGCAUUUGAUACGUGUAGACUAGAGUGUGAGAGAGGGUUGUGGAAUUCC